GGGCUCGUAGCUCAGCUUGGUAGAGCAGCUGGCUUUUAACCAGUUGGUCGGGCGUUCAAAUCGCCCCGGGCCCA
Molecule: transfer RNA, 74 nt
Filed under: Pseudomonadota bacterium
Lineage: Bacteria; Pseudomonadati; Pseudomonadota
Also listed under: 2 other names
Description: tRNA-Lys
Rfam family: tRNA
About the family: Transfer RNA (tRNA) molecules are approximately 80 nucleotides in length. Their secondary structure includes four short double-helical elements and three loops (D, anti-codon, and T loops). Further hydrogen bonds mediate the characteristic L-shaped molecular structure. tRNAs have two regions of fundamental functional importance: the anti-codon, which is responsible for specific mRNA codon recognition, and the 3' end, to which the tRNAs corresponding amino acid is attached (by aminoacyl-tRNA synthetases). tRNAs cope with the degeneracy of the genetic code in two manners: having more than one tRNA (with a specific anti-codon) for a particular amino acid; and 'wobble' base-pairing, i.e. permitting non-standard base-pairing at the 3rd anti-codon position.
Source: RNAcentral